This 301-nucleotide ribosomal RNA is filed under the name uncultured bacterium. RNAcentral describes it as "partial 16S ribosomal RNA". It matches the Rfam family "Bacterial small subunit ribosomal RNA", at positions 509 to 807 of the family's 1533-position model. The record is from RNAcentral.
CAGUAGCCGCGGUAAUACGAAGGGUGCAAGCGUUACUCGGAAUUACUGGGCGUAAAGCGUGCGUAGGUGGUGGUUUAAGUCCGUUGUGAAAGCCCUGGGCUCAACCUGGGAAUUGCAGUGGAUACUGGGUCACUAGAGUGUGGUAGAGGAUAGUGGAAUUUCCGGUGUAGCAGUGAAAUGCGUAGAGAUCGGAAGGAACAUCUGUGGCGAAGGCGGCCAUCUGGGACAACACUGACGCUGAGGCACGAAAGCGUGUGGAGCAAACAGGAUUAGAUACCCGAGUAGUCCCUGUCUCUUAUAC